ACUCAAAUGAAUUGACGGGGACCCGCACAAGCGGUGGAGCAUGUGGUUUAAUUCGACGGUAAGCGAGAAACCUUACCCGGGCUCAACUACUAGCUGCAAACUCUAUGAAAGUAGAGUGCCUUCGAGGGUGCUAGAUAGGUGCUGCAUGGUUGUCGUCAGCUCGUGCCGUAAGGUGUACCCUUCAGUGGGGUAACGAGCGCAACCCCUAUUCCGUGUUACACGUGUCACGGGAGACUGCUUUCGUAAGAAAGAGGAAGGCGGGGAUGACGUCAAAUCAGCAUGGCUCUUACGUCCGGGGCGACACACAUGCUACAAUGGUCGGUACAACGGGUUGCCAAACCGCAAGGUGGAGCAAAUCCCUUAAAGCCGGCCCCAGUUCAGAUUGAGGGCUGCAACUCGCCCUCAUGAAGUCGGAAUCGCUAGUAACGGUGCAACAGCUCGGCGCCGUGAAUACGUUCUCGGGUCUUGUACACACCGCCCGU
RNAcentral lists this ribosomal RNA (482 nucleotides) under uncultured bacterium. RNAcentral describes it as "partial 16S ribosomal RNA". It matches the Rfam family "Bacterial small subunit ribosomal RNA", at positions 899 to 1397 of the family's 1533-position model. The record is from RNAcentral.